AACGUUUCUCAGUCUUUUGACUAAAAUCAAGUGUAGUGUCUGUUCUUAUUAGUUGUCAGUCUGCCAUUAUCUCUUGGCAGGCUUAGGUUUCCAGAGCUUACUAUCAGUUUUAUUUCAGAGUUCUCAAGGAGUGAAACUUGCUCUUUACAGUGGUUUCUUUUAUGUGUAUGGGUGUAUUGGCUGCCUGGAUGCAAAGUUCA
Molecule: small nuclear RNA, 200 nt
Organism: Rattus rattus (black rat)
Lineage: Eukaryota; Metazoa; Chordata; Mammalia; Rodentia; Muridae
Product: U2 spliceosomal RNA
Exons: 1
Source: RefSeq, a predicted model, not a curated record